This 27-nucleotide non-coding RNA is filed under the name Mus musculus (house mouse). Lineage: Eukaryota; Metazoa; Chordata; Mammalia; Rodentia; Muridae. The record is from RNAcentral.
UGCCUACAAGUGUGCAGGGGUAAAGAU